Molecule: long non-coding RNA, 260 nt
Filed under: Pan troglodytes (chimpanzee)
Lineage: Eukaryota; Metazoa; Chordata; Mammalia; Primates; Hominidae
Description: lncRNA (ENSPTRG00000052955.1)
Source: RNAcentral
CAAUCUUUGAUGUCUUCUUCUUGUGAAGGGUGGUGAGGGAGAAAGAAGACAACCUCAGCCAAAGAGGCCCUGCCCACGAUAGUUCUCGGGUGAGGGAAGGGGCUCCAGGGAGUAGGGCAGGGAUUUUGCACAAAGAGCGGCCCCCAGCUCAAAAGCCACAAAAAGAAAAGGUGGUCAGAGAGCUUCUCCUACCCUGGAGAAUCCUGUAGGCAACUCUUUCUUCACACUUGGCAGUUUUCCCUCUUCUCUGCCAUGCUCCC